GUACUUCCCGGUGUAGCCUUCUGGCUUUGCUUAUGAUGGGUUCAUUUGGCUUCUCUGAGUCAUGUUGCUUCUCUGGACAAGUGAGGUGUUUGCUGUCAGUGAAGUGGGCUGAAUCAACAAGGUGUCAUUCUCUAAAAGCCAGAAAUUGGUUCCUCUUUUGCAUCCUGCCUAUGAAAAUAGGCCGAAGCAAACAGCAAACGCAAAGGUUUAAUUUAUAAAUUGUGUGUAUGUGACUAAAGGCUUAAUUAUCUCUUAAUCAGCCUUCUCUGAUUAGAGUGGAGAUCAAUGGGAAGCAAUAGGAAAAAGAGAAAUUUGGAUUAGGUAACUGCCAUUACCUCAAGACCCAGGACGCUUACAUGUGAAGACUUUUAAAAGCUGGCAUUGAAUUUCCUUUAAUGAAGAGGAAUUGUCCUUGUUUGUAAAACAAUAAAACUUGAGAAGAUAUUCUUCAGUAUAACAUGAAAAGUUAAUGGCAUGGGUACUGAGAAAAUGGAAAAGAGAGAGAGAGCCAGUAUUCUCUGUGAAAGCGAUGAACAGAUAUUAGGUAAAGAAUGGUGAAAAGAGUGAGAGCGAAGAGAGCAGGAAGGAGAAGACAAAUGGCCAAGUAACAUGACAGACAUCCUUGGACGAAAAUGGACAGUAAGAAACUACUGAAGUUUGGUUCUGUAAUUGGCGUUCUGGAGCAUACCCUUAUAUAUUCAACACAUAUCUGUGAAGUGUCAGCCUCAUGCCAGGUCCUGUUCUCAGAACUGGAAAUGUAAGAAACAAGGUGACUCCUUCAGAUCAGGAUGCAGCAACAUUCUCAAGGAAGAGGAAACCAUCUUUAUACCACAAAGGUCUAAAGUCUGAUUCCACCGACAAGGGAGGUUCCCUGGGUGGUUGGAGUUUCAGGAUACGCGCAGAACUUCAAAUCCUCCCGUAUAUCUCCAUUUCAGUUCCCCAGUGCUCAUUUGAUACUGACCAAUGUGCUGUACGAUGCAAUGUAUGGGUAAGAAUAUGGGCUGCGGAAUCAAUUGUUUUCAUCCCAGCUCCGCUCCUGCCAGCUAUUUGACCUAUGAAAAUUCACUUAACCUCUCUGUACUUUGGUUUCUUAAUCCGUGAAAUAGAGAAGACAAUAAUACUUAAAAGGAUGCUUCUGAAUAUUAAAUAUGAUAAUACAAAUAUAGCACUUAGAACAGUGCCUUGAACAUAGCAUUUUCUAAGUGCUAGCCAUGCCUAUCAUUAUGAGGCUUGACAAGGCUGAGAAUUCAACUGAUAUUACAGUUGGACAACUCACAGCAUAAAUCUUUGGCCACUUUAGCCCUGCAGCUGCUUGAGCUAAGGAAUCAUUUUGAAUGGUUUUAGAAAGUCCCUGGGUUUCUAAAUGUCCUUGAUUUGAGCCAAGAAUUUAGGUUUUUAAACUUUUUAAUGAGUUAAUUUUUCUUCUUUAAAUUCUAUUUCAUGAUAGAAUAAGGUUGAUUUUUUUCACUAUAGGAGUAAUACAAUGUAUUAUAAAAAAAAUCACCACUGCAGAUACAUGUAAAGAAAAAAGUUAAAAUAAAAUGAAAGCUCUUUACCCUGAGAUGACAUUAACGUUUUGGUGAAUAUUCUUCUAUGCAUCUCUGUAUACAUCCCUGAAGUUCUGUGGGCCUGCGUUUUCACAGGAGCCCCAAGAACUCCAUGCUCCAGGACUCUCAACUCCAGUUCUCAAAGUUCUCUGGUACAAGAAGAACUAAAUCUUGCACUCAUUUCGUCCAUCAAGAUCUUGGAGGAGCAGAGGCUGUGUUUGUACCCUGCCAGCUCUUGAAUCUCCCCUGGUUAGAAAAGGAAAAUGGCAGUUGACUUGGAUUUGAGAAGCAGGCUGUCGACACAGAUUGAUGCCUAUUCUUUUUAAUAAAGUGUCUAGUGACAAUAAAUUAGCGCUUCUCACAUCCAUUCAUUAUGUACUUCAUGCACUGUAUGUGCUAGGCAAUAUGAUCCCCUAAAUCUUUACCCCAGAAGGUAUUUUAUCCUAGGAGACCAUAGGCAAUACAGAUUUUCCUCCUUAUAAUGACUGCUUAUUCAUCUAUCUUUUUGUCAUACCAUCUCUCGAAAAGUUUACUUCUUUGCAAAUGACUCUUUUCUUUACAAGUGUAAUGACAUUUUUUUUGUGCUUCAAAAUGUGCUAAAGAUAAAUAUUACAAGAAGUAAUAGUUCAGCAUUAUAUUUUCAGGCAAAGACAUACUCAUCAGUAGACUUGACAAAACAGUUUAUAGUCUAAGAAUAUUCUAUAGAGUUGUGUUUAGAUGAAAGCAAAAUUGUGCUCUGCAUACACAAACCAAGCGAAAAGAGAUGAUUCUUGAGUCUGUUUAGUGCAUGCACCGUUCCUGCAUUUUAAAAUACUCUUGUGUUUUGCUCUUAAAGUGGUUUCAAGAACAUUAGUUUUAAGUAUAGUUUUAGGUUGAAAAUUGGUGAAUAAAAUGAUGUAAAAAGAAGUGUGCCUCCAAGAAUGACUGCCUUGCACUCUUCCUCCACUAGCUGCCAUCUAUGUUCCAGUUUCCUCUUCCUCUUUUAGUGAGGACGUUAAACCUUCACUGCACUAAAUUUUAUAUGUAAACUCUUUAUUUUCAACUGUUGUUAUUAAUUACGUAGACUUGUUUUCAUUGUUCAAUUUAUAUAUUUUUCUAACAACUGAAAAUUGUUUGGAUAUUUUGGUUUGGGAUGAAACGAAUCAUAAUUUGUUCCAUCAAAAUUAAUAUAAUUUUCAAAAAAUUUCAUGGCUUUUCUUUGAGCAGCAAAGUUUUCAAGAAUGAAUUAAAGUUAUUGGGAAAGA
Equus caballus (horse) is the source of this 2791-nucleotide long non-coding RNA. The record is from Ensembl. Lineage: Eukaryota; Metazoa; Chordata; Mammalia; Perissodactyla; Equidae.